Long non-coding RNA from Lotus japonicus, 1613 nucleotides. RefSeq lists it as uncharacterized. The record is from RefSeq and is a predicted model, not a curated record. Lineage: Eukaryota; Viridiplantae; Streptophyta; Magnoliopsida; Fabales; Fabaceae. The transcript has 8 exons.
UCCCAAAACUACCCCUUCUCUCUCUUUUCCAACAGACCUCCAAUAGCAACCUCUUCCAGCGCUGUCGCACGGCCACCUCCACUCUUCCAGCGCCACCACCACCUCCUCUCUUCCCAUCACCACCAACCACCAAAUCAUCUACCACCGUAUCAACCCGGUUCCUUCCCCUCAAACCCACCACCACCGCCCACCUCUUCACCGUUAGAAUUGCACCGCCACCUUCACCACAACCUAAUUCAAGCACCACUGCUAUCGCUCCCUCUCUUUCCAGAUGGCGCCACCGCCGCCGCCAUUUCCUUCUUUUUUCACGAUUUCUUGCUUCAUCGACUAUAUCGACGUCACCGAUGCCACAGAUUUCCCAUUUCCAGCGAUUUCCGACGUCACUCGGCGCAGAACAUUAUUCUCCGGUGAUGCCCAUCACGUUACCCUGUCAACCCUUACGUGGUUUCCUGAAAGAUUUGCCCUAGAUUUCAUCUCACUGAUUUUUGGGGGAUUUGGUAUGGAAGCAUGCUGAGUUGUCUAUCUUAUCCCCAACUCUUGGAUUUUUACAACUUGUGUCAUGUCCAUCUUCAGUUGAAAUUUGGAUGGGACAAAAUGAGGAUAUCCAUUGCUUUGUAGAGAAGGUGGUAGCUUGGUCUUGAGCAAGAGGGAGCAGAAGGUAGAGAAUUUGCUAUUCUUCACUGGAUAGAGAUGGUCAAGCAACAAUAGUUGUCUUUAGAUCCAUUUAUAAAGGAGAAGAGGUUGCAAGAUAAGCUUUUUAGCAACUGUGUAAGCCUAAGUACAUACUUUUUAGAGGGUUGUUAGGCUUAAGGAGCAGAAGAUCCAACUCAAGAAUGACUGAUGUAAUGUAACGAUGAUAAGAAAUUUAUGAAAGAGGCGUUUUCAAAAAUCAUCAUUUCUUAAUUGUUCAAAGUUCAAACUGGUAGGUUCUCCUGCUGAUUGCAUCCUUCUACCAAGUAAGUCAUAGAAUGCCUUAUAUUGUUGGUUCGAGUCUAAAUAGGUAUGUCAUGUUUUCUAUAUUUCAGCUACAUACUUGGUAGGGCUCCCCGAAUGAGAGAGGCCAACUGAGGAUUUGGUGGCUGGUCUUAAGCAGCUUGGUCUUCGUGUAGAUGUUGAUUGUUCUAUUGGUACAAACUGUCCAGCAAAUUCGAAGCUUAUGCCCUGGAAGAGAAGCAUGAAAGAUCAGAGCAAGGAGCUCCAUAGUUGGCAAUUAUGAUCUUGAAUUUGUUGAAAUUUGUUGAAGGAAUGUCUGCCACUGCUACCUAGAAUGCAGGUGAGUGAUCCUGUUGCAAAGUAUUAUGGGCUUAAGCGUGGACAAAUCGUGAAGAUAAUUCGGCCAAGUGAGAUUGCAGGCAGAUAUGUCACCUACUGAUUUGUUGUUUGAUAACUUCCUUGAAUAUACUGACCUUACUAUCCUUACUAUGCUACUGUGUUCCGUUAUCAAUUGAUAUUGAUACGAAGCUUGGACAAGGAUGCAAAGCCUUUUGGAAUAGGGUGACCUCUUUCUGUUUAUACUUUAUAAUAGAUAAAUAUUUGUGUUACUAUUGGAGCUUUGGAAUCAAAAGCGAGCAUGAUCUUAUCAUAUAAAAAUGUGUUGAAAGGCAUUUUCUCUA